AUACGUAGGGGGCGAGCGUUAUCCGGAUUUAUUGGGCGUAAAGCGUGUGUAGGCGGUUUGUUAAGUUUAAGAUUAAAGCCCGAGGCUUAACCUCGGUUCGUCUUAAAAACUGGCAGACUUGAGUGCAGUAGAGGCAAGUGGAAUUUCUAGUGUAGCGGUUAAAUGCGUAGAUAUUAGAAGGAACACCAGUGGCGAAGGCGGCUUGCUGGGCUGUUACUGACGCUGAGACACGAAAGCGGGGGGAGCAAAUAGGAUUAGAUACCCUAGUAGUCCACGCCGUAAACGAUGAGUACUAAGUGUCGGGUAACCGGUGCUGAAGUUAACACAUUAAGUACUCCGCCUGAGUAGUACGGCCGCAAGGCUAAAACUCAAAUGAAUUGACGGGG
This 386-nucleotide ribosomal RNA is filed under the name uncultured bacterium. RNAcentral describes it as "partial 16S ribosomal RNA". It matches the Rfam family "Bacterial small subunit ribosomal RNA", at positions 523 to 918 of the family's 1533-position model. The record is from RNAcentral.